UUCCCGGGUGUGCUUAAUAAAAAAUACUCUCCCGCCUAAGUUAAAACCCUAUUCCAUUAUUAAAACAAAUACAAAAAAAAUGGAUCAUCUUCUUCACAACCGCUGCUACAUCUAGGAGAAAACCUAAACCUUAUUUGAUUAAAUCAAAUUCGUGGUUUUACGGGAUCUUUCUUCGUCUUCUUCUUCAAUUUUUUGCCUUCGUCAACAAAUAUUUUGCUUCCAGAUUGAGAAGAAACUAUGCAAACUAGACGUCACAACAGACUAGUAAUUCAACAAGAUGAUGAUGAAGAAGUGCGACACUAUAUUGAGCAAUUGAUGGAGAAUCAAAACCACUCUGCAGCACAACCUUAUAUUGAGCAGUUGAUGGAUAAUCGGAACAACUCUGAGGCCCAAUCACAUGAUGGUCAAUCUAAUGAGGUGAAUAGUUGUCUUUGGUGGCGCUGAGGCUCAACAUAAUGAU
Molecule: long non-coding RNA, 460 nt
Organism: Lycium ferocissimum
Lineage: Eukaryota; Viridiplantae; Streptophyta; Magnoliopsida; Solanales; Solanaceae
Exons: 3
Source: RefSeq, a predicted model, not a curated record